UGGGGAAUAUUGCACAAUGGGCGCAAGCCUGAUGCAGCCAUGCCGCGUGUGUGAAGAAGGCCUUCGGGUUGUAAAGCACUUUCAGCGAGGAGGAAGGUGGUGAGCUUAAUACGCUCAUCAAUUGACGUUACUCGCAGAAGAAGCACCGGCUAACUCCGUGCCAGCAGCCGCGGUAAUACGGAGGGUGCAAGCGUUAAUCGGAAUUACUGGGCGUAAAGCGCACGCAGGCGGUUUGUUAAGUCAGAUGUGAAAUCCCCGGGCUCAACCUGGGAACUGCAUUUGAAACUGGCAAGCUAGAGUCUCGUAGAGGGGGGUAGAAUUCCAGGUGUAGCGGUGAAAUGCGUAGAGAUCUGGAGGAAUACCGGUGGCGAAGGCGGCCCCCUGGACGAAGACUGACGCUCAGGUGCGAAAGCGUGGGGCAGCAAACAGGAUUAGAUACCCUGGUAGUCCAGCGCUGUAAAACGAUGUCGAUUUUGGAGGUUGUGCCCUUGAGGCGUGGCUUCCGGAGCUAACGCGUUAAAUCGACCGCCUGGGGAGUACGGCCGCAAGGUUAAAACUUAAAUGAAUUGACGGGGUCU
This 578-nucleotide ribosomal RNA is filed under the name uncultured bacterium. RNAcentral describes it as "partial 16S ribosomal RNA". It matches the Rfam family "Bacterial small subunit ribosomal RNA", at positions 355 to 921 of the family's 1533-position model. The record is from RNAcentral.